CUCCACAGAACCCAGGACCCCUCUACAGAACCCAGGACCCCUCCACAGAACCCAGGACCCCUCUAUAGAACCCAGGACCCCCCACAGAACCCAGAACCCCUCUACAGAACCCAGGACCCCUCCAUAGAACCCAGGACCCUUCCACAGAACCCAGAACCCCUCUACAGAACCCAGGACCCCUCCACAGAACCCAGGACCCCUCUAUAGAACCCAGGACCCCUCUACAGAACCCAGAACCCCUCCACAGAACCCAGGGCCCCUCCACAGAACCCAGGACCCCUCUACAGAACCCAGGACCCCUCUACAGAACCCAGGACCCCUCCACAGAACCCAGGACCCCUCUACAGAACCCA
Molecule: long non-coding RNA, 353 nt
Filed under: Pan troglodytes (chimpanzee)
Lineage: Eukaryota; Metazoa; Chordata; Mammalia; Primates; Hominidae
Description: long non-coding RNA NONPTRT014925
Source: RNAcentral